This 138-nucleotide small nucleolar RNA is filed under the name Ornithorhynchus anatinus (platypus). Lineage: Eukaryota; Metazoa; Chordata; Mammalia; Monotremata; Ornithorhynchidae. The record is from RNAcentral.
AGCCUCUCAGGGUCGCACCUGGAGAGUUUCCAGUAUUCUACCAGUCUCCGCUAUGGGAGGGAGAGUCAAGCAGAGGCCUACCCAUUCCAUUCCUAGCUUGGGCAAUGGCUGGCGAGUGGAAGGCAAUCUGCUGCAAGU